This 431-nucleotide ribosomal RNA is filed under the name uncultured bacterium. Its description in RNAcentral is "bacterial SSU rRNA". It matches the Rfam family "Bacterial small subunit ribosomal RNA", at positions 29 to 506 of the family's 1533-position model. The record is from RNAcentral.
ACGAACGCUGGCGGCAUGCCUAAUACAUGCAAGUCGAACGAUCCCUUCGGGGAUAGUGGCGCACGGGUGCGUAACGCGUGGGAAUCUGCCCUUGGGUUCGGAAUAACUUCGGGAAACUGAAGCUAAUACCGGAUGAUGACGAAAGUCCAAAGAUUUAUCGCCCAGGGAUGAGCCCGCGUAGGAUUAGCUAGUUGGUGGGGUAAAGGCUCACCAAGGCAACGAUCCUUAGCUGGUCUGAGAGGAUGAUCAGCCACACUGGGACUGAGACACGGCCCAGACUCCUACGGGAGGCAGCAGUGGGGAAUUUUGGACAAUGGGCGCAAGCCUGAUCCAGCCAUGCCGCGUGAGUGAAGAAGGCCUUCGGGUUGUAAAGCUCUUUCGGGUGUGAAAAUGAUGAUGGUAACACCAGAAGAAGCCCCGGCUAACUCCGU